UGGCACAAUUGGCUAGCGCGUCAGACUGUUAAUCUGGAGGUUGGUGGUUCGAGCCCACC
Colletotrichum chlorophyti is the source of this 59-nucleotide transfer RNA. It matches the Rfam family "tRNA", at positions 8 to 63 of the family's 71-position model. Rfam says of the family: Transfer RNA (tRNA) molecules are approximately 80 nucleotides in length. Their secondary structure includes four short double-helical elements and three loops (D, anti-codon, and T loops). The record is from Rfam. Lineage: Eukaryota; Fungi; Ascomycota; Sordariomycetes; Glomerellales; Glomerellaceae.